This 28-nucleotide small RNA is filed under the name Bombyx mori (domestic silkworm). RNAcentral's name for it is "ovarian small RNA-16560". The record is from RNAcentral. Lineage: Eukaryota; Metazoa; Arthropoda; Insecta; Lepidoptera; Bombycidae.
GCAUGUAUCGAUCGUUUCUGAGCACGGG